CUUUAUCAAAACCAGUGAAGCUGAAUCAGCUUACCCGAAGAAAUAGCUCAUUAUUUUUAUGUCCGUAAGGAAAGAAAAAGCACAGCAGAAAUGCUAGUCAGGUUUGCUCAGUGCCAGGAUAAUGGAGGAAGAUUUCCUCAGGUCUCUAUUGUGGUAUUGUGGAGGUCCACACAGGGUCAGCAGAUGUCUGACAGCAGAUCCGCACCCACCCAGAAGAGCAACUGGGAUAUCCCACCAACCAGCCACAGGAGAAGGCUGCUGGAACCAGGAGGAGAGAAGCAGCCCCGAGAGGCACAGUGAUGAUGGAGGAACAGAGAAAUGCACUCAGAUCUGUUUCAGCUUCGACGGGCAAGUUCUUCAAAAUAAAAAAGCAGCUGGACAAUUAUACUGCUAGAGGAAAGGACUAUUACAAAGUGAGGAUGCUCAGCCUUAGGCUCUGCAUUAGAAUCUGUAAGUCCUGAAGCACAUCAGGCUUGGUGACUGCAGAGUCUCACUGGAGAGGAACAGUCUGGAGCUUUCAGAAGGAGCAGAAGUUCUGUGUCAGGGUACCUAACGGAUCCUAAAACAGAACUGCCCACCCCUGAAACAUUCCUGACAGGAGCUUGUGCAGCACUGUUUUUCGGAUGGAAAUACCCCAGUCCUGCUACCUAAAUCACUCUAGUGCUUGACUAUCAGUAUUGAAAGAGAGCUUUCCUGAAGCCUAGACUAAUUCCUCAUUUUGUAAUGUUAACUACUUCAUUCAGGUCCUGUACAAAGACCUUAUCCAAUUUAUUAUGGCAACUCUCACAUGCAUGCUUAAGAACUGUUUUAUGUAUUUCUUCUUGAUUUUAUUUUCUCUAAAUGGGCAAUACAAGUACUUUGGGCCAUGUAUUUAUAUUACUGACCAUUUCUAUACAAAUAAAUGUUCAUCUCUCCUAGCUGAACA
Molecule: long non-coding RNA, 925 nt
Organism: Anser brachyrhynchus (Pink-footed goose)
Lineage: Eukaryota; Metazoa; Chordata; Aves; Anseriformes; Anatidae
Source: Ensembl